GGUAUGUAAAGCUCUAUCAGCAGGGAAGAAACUGACGGUACCUGACUAAGAAGCCCCGGUUAACUACGUGCCAGCAGCCGCGGUAAUACGUAGGGGGCAAGCGUUAUCCGGAUUUACUGGGUGUAAAGGGAGCGUAGACGGCGAAGCAAGUCUGGAGUGAAAACCCAGGGCUCAACCCUGGGACUGCUUUGGAAACUGUUUUGCUAGAGUGUCGGAGAGGUAAGUGGAAUUCCUAGUGUAGCGGUGAAAUGCGUAGAUAUUAGGAGGAACACCAGUGGCGAAGGCGGCUUACUGGACGAUAACUGACGUUGAGGCUCGAAAGCGUGGGGAGCAAACAGGAUUAGAUACCCUGGUAGUCCACGCCGUAAA
This 369-nucleotide ribosomal RNA is filed under the name uncultured bacterium. Its description in RNAcentral is "bacterial SSU rRNA". It matches the Rfam family "Bacterial small subunit ribosomal RNA", at positions 420 to 806 of the family's 1533-position model. The record is from RNAcentral.